UGGCGGCGUGCCUAACACAUGCAAGUCGAACGGUCUGCUUCGGCAGAUAGUGGCGCACGGGUGAGUAACACGUGGUUGACCUACCCUCAAGUAGGGGAUAACGUUCCGAAAGGAAUGCUAAUACCCUAUAAGCUCCCGGUGUUUAGAAAACUGGGAGAAAAGUUCCGGCGCUUGAGGAGGGGACUGCGAACCAUCAGCUAGUUGGUGUGGUAAUGGCGCACCAAGGCGACGACGGUUAGGGGACCUGAGAGGGUGGCCCCCCACACUGGAACUGAGACACGGUCCAGACUCCUACGGGAGGCAGCAGUGAGGAAUAUUGCACAAUGGGCGCAAGCCUGAUGCAGCGACGCCGCGUGGGUGAUGAAGGCUUUCGGGUCGUAAAGCCCUUUUCUAGGUGACGAGGAAGGACGGUAGCCUAGGAAUAAGUGUCGGCUAACUACGUGCCAGCAGCCGCGGUAAAACGUAGGACACAAGCGUUAUCCGGAGUUACUGGGCGUAAAGGGCGUGUAGGCGGGAUUAUAAGUCUACUCUGAAAGCUCCUGGCUAAACUGGGAGAGGCGAGUGGAGACUGUAGUUCUAGAGUGAGGAAGAGGAAAGUGGAAUUCCGCGUGUAGUGGUGAAAUGCGUAGAGAUGCGGAGGAACACCAGUGGCGAAAGCGACUUUCUGGUCCUUAACUGACGCUGAGGCGCGAAAGCAUGGGGAGCGAACGGGAUUAGAAACCCCGGUAGUCCAUGCCAUAAACGAUGUUCACUAAACGUUCGACCCUCGCGAGAGGGAUGGGUGUUGAAGCUAACGCAGUAAGUGAACCGCCUGGGGAGUACGGUCGCAAGGCUA
This 835-nucleotide ribosomal RNA is filed under the name uncultured organism. RNAcentral describes it as "bacterial SSU rRNA". It matches the Rfam family "Bacterial small subunit ribosomal RNA", at positions 37 to 896 of the family's 1533-position model. The record is from RNAcentral.